Molecule: long non-coding RNA, 256 nt
Organism: Cebus imitator (Panamanian white-faced capuchin)
Lineage: Eukaryota; Metazoa; Chordata; Mammalia; Primates; Cebidae
Exons: 3
Source: RefSeq, a predicted model, not a curated record
CUUACGACCAUUUGACUUUACGACCACAAUCGCUAGCCAUGACUGCUCCGCGUCUGGCAGCGCAAACGUUGCCCAGCUGGGCGUACGACAGUGUGGACCAGCUUCUAGCAGCACUACCAUCUCUGCGUGCACCACUUCAACUGUUAUCCCAAACUCAGUAUAGCAAUUUGUGUUUUGUGUCUUGGAUAUUUUUCAUCAAACCCCUCCCAUGAUAAACUUCUUAUAGAUUGUCUCUAAACGAGAACCAAACAAGAAA